This 408-nucleotide ribosomal RNA is filed under the name Agrobacterium tumefaciens. RNAcentral describes it as "bacterial SSU rRNA". It matches the Rfam family "Bacterial small subunit ribosomal RNA", at positions 20 to 458 of the family's 1533-position model. The record is from RNAcentral. Lineage: Bacteria; Pseudomonadati; Pseudomonadota; Alphaproteobacteria; Hyphomicrobiales; Rhizobiaceae.
UGGCUCAGAACGAACGCUGGCGGCAGGCUUAACACAUGCAAGUCGAACGCCCCGCAAGGGGAGUGGCAGACGGGUGAGUAACGCGUGGGAAUCUACCGUGCCCUGCGGAAUAGCUCCGGGAAACUGGAAUUAAUACCGCAUACGCCCUACGGGGGAAAGAUUUAUCGGGGUAUGAUGAGCCCGCGUUGGAUUAGCUAGUUGGUGGGGUAAAGGCCUACCAAGGCGACGAUCCAUAGCUGGUCUGAGAGGAUGAUCAGCCACAUUGGGACUGAGACACGGCCCAAACUCCUACGGGAGGCAGCAGUGGGGAAUAUUGGACAAUGGGCGCAAGCCUGAUCCAGCCAUGCCGCGUGAGUGAUGAAGGCCUUAGGGUUGUAAAGCUCUUUCACCGGAGAAGAUAAUGACGGU